AAAACACAGUUCAUUGACUGUGUGUAAAAGAACACAAAACUGCUGUGAGAAUCAUUCCUUGCUGGUCUCAAGCACUCAAUGUGACUCAAUGUCGUGGUCUACUACUUUCUGCAUCUCAAGUCCAACGUACAUAGUGAGCUACUGGAUAACAGUGGGAAAGCUGUCCACAUGGAGGGGGAACCUGGAGCACCCGGAGGAAACCUCCAUGAACACUGGGAGAACAUGCAAACUCUACACAGAACUGCCAACUGACCCAACUGAGGCUCGAACCAGCAACCUUCUUGCUGUGAGGUGACUGUGCUACCCACUGCACAACCGCACUGCCCGACUGAAAUAAUCAAAUAUCUAAAUAUAUUCAGCUUUAUUUACAAACACAGUUUAAAUUUAACAAUUACUGGAAAUUGAAGUCAGAACAAAAAAAGAAACAAAUUGCAAAUAAAUUUAAAUAA
Long non-coding RNA from Danio aesculapii, 449 nucleotides. RefSeq lists it as uncharacterized. The record is from RefSeq and is a predicted model, not a curated record. Lineage: Eukaryota; Metazoa; Chordata; Actinopteri; Cypriniformes; Danionidae. The transcript has 3 exons.